GCCCGGAUGGUGGAAUUGGUAGACACGCUGGACUUAAAAUCCAGUGGCUUCACGGCCGUGCGGGUUCAAGUCCCGCUCCGGGUACGA
RNAcentral lists this transfer RNA (87 nucleotides) under Ancylomarina sp. 16SWW S1-10-2. Its description in RNAcentral is "tRNA-Leu". It matches the Rfam family "tRNA". From Rfam's summary of the family: Transfer RNA (tRNA) molecules are approximately 80 nucleotides in length. Their secondary structure includes four short double-helical elements and three loops (D, anti-codon, and T loops). Further hydrogen bonds mediate the characteristic L-shaped molecular structure. tRNAs have two regions of fundamental functional importance: the anti-codon, which is responsible for specific mRNA codon recognition, and the 3' end, to which the tRNAs corresponding amino acid is attached (by aminoacyl-tRNA synthetases). tRNAs cope with the degeneracy of the genetic code in two manners: having more than one tRNA (with a specific anti-codon) for a particular amino acid; and 'wobble' base-pairing, i.e. permitting non-standard base-pairing at the 3rd anti-codon position. Lineage: Bacteria; Pseudomonadati; Bacteroidota; Bacteroidia; Marinilabiliales; Marinifilaceae. The record is from RNAcentral.